UUGGUGGAGAGUUUGAUCCUGGCUCAGGAUCAACGCUGGCGGCGUGCCUAAUGCAUGCAAGUCGGACGGGGUUUCCUUCGGGGGACUUACGUGGCGGACGGGUGCGGAACACGUGGGUGACCUA
RNAcentral lists this ribosomal RNA (124 nucleotides) under Chloroflexota bacterium. RNAcentral describes it as "partial 16S ribosomal RNA". It matches the Rfam family "Bacterial small subunit ribosomal RNA", at positions 1 to 128 of the family's 1533-position model. The record is from RNAcentral. Lineage: Bacteria; Bacillati; Chloroflexota.